AACACAACUUCAGCUGUCUAACCAGAACUAGAAUGGCAUUUCUCUUUCUAUGGUCUAGUUGCCCAAAUUGAAGGAUUUGUCUGCUCUCUGGGUGAGGUUCUGUCUGUCUAACCACACACUGACAUGUACAGCUCUCUGGGUGAGGUUCUCUGUCGAACCACACUGACAUGUACAGCUCUCUGGGUGAGGUUCUGUCUGUCUAACCACACUGACAUGUACUGCUCUCUGGGUGAGGUUCUGUCUGUCUAACACACUGACAUGUACAGCUCUCUGGGUGAGGUUCUGUCUGUCUAACCACACUGACAUGUACAGCUCUCUGGGUGAGGUUCUGUCUGUCUAACCACACUGACAUGUACAGCUCUCUGGGUGAGGUUCUGUCUGUCUAACACUACUGACAUGUACAGCUCUCUGGGUGAGGUUCUUUCUGUCUAACCACACUGACAUGCACAGUUCUUUGGGUGAGGUUCUGUCUGUCUAACCACACUGACAUGCACAGUUCUCUGGGUGAUGUUCUGUCUGUCUAACCACACUGACAUGUACAGCUCUCUGGGUGAUGUUCUGUCUGUCUAACCGCACACUGUCCUUAACAAUUACAAGCAUACCCAUAACAUGAUGGAGACACCACUGCUUGAACAUAUUGAGUGGUACUCAGUAAUUACAUUUACAUUACAUUUAAGUCAUUUAGCAGACGCUCUUAUCCAGAGCGACUUACAAAAUGGUGCAUUCACCUUAUGAUAUCCAGUGGAACAACCACUUUACAAUAG
RNAcentral lists this long non-coding RNA (764 nucleotides) under Salmo salar (Atlantic salmon). RNAcentral describes it as "lncRNA (ENSSSAG00000083783.1)". The record is from RNAcentral. Lineage: Eukaryota; Metazoa; Chordata; Actinopteri; Salmoniformes; Salmonidae.